GGAUUCCAAAUGUGUAGAUGGGUAUUGCAUUUGUACUAACAAAGACUACGAUUACCACACUUGUUUGCCUAAUGCAAAUGGAUGCAAAAUAUCAGAGGAUGCUGUUACAGCUCUUGGUAGACCUCGAUAUAACAACCAUCUACAGAAGCCUACCUAAAGCUGCACGCCUGGCAGCAGCAGCUCCAGUCAGUAUGAAGUGCACGUAUUGUCUGUUUACGAGGUCAUCAACAGACGUCCCCCGGCCGCUGGUGACGCUACUGUUAACAUUUUCAGUGGUGGAAGGUCAGACAGACCUCUUGUACUUGUACUUGCAAGCUACGAACCUGUUAAUUGGAUUCUCAAGUUACCAGCUGACAUCACAAUAAGUAGCGUGAUAUUGGUUGCCUUCUACGUGCAUGAAAGCUAAGUCAGUGGAGAAGUGGACCAAGUACAGGCGAUUGAACGAAAGAGUUACCUCGGAUCGUGGCCAAGAGGAUAUGGGAGUGA
Stylophora pistillata is the source of this 486-nucleotide long non-coding RNA. RefSeq lists it as uncharacterized. NCBI's taxonomy places the organism in Eukaryota, Metazoa, Cnidaria, Anthozoa, Scleractinia, Pocilloporidae. The record is from RefSeq and is a predicted model, not a curated record.